Molecule: long non-coding RNA, 2163 nt
Organism: Gadus macrocephalus (Pacific cod)
Lineage: Eukaryota; Metazoa; Chordata; Actinopteri; Gadiformes; Gadidae
Exons: 2
Source: RefSeq, a predicted model, not a curated record
AGCAUGAAUACACACACACAAGCAGGCAUACAAACAAACAGACAAGCACAUGUAGAUACACACAAUACACAUGCGUACACACAAGCACACACACAAACACAGGAUCACAUGUACAUAUGCAGUCACACAGACACACACAGACAAACACACACAUACAUAAACACAGACUGCUCUCAGAACAUAGCAUAACAGAGAACUAUAAACAAAAGCCACAUGCGUCGGUACAAUCAUACAGUCUUUGCUUCGGCUCCAGAUUCUAAACACUCUUUCAUUGUCUCCCUUUGUUUCAGCCACAACCCUGCAAUUAACAAACAGUGAAACACACACGCAAACAUACACAUACAAACACACACACACACACACACACACACACACACACACACACACACACUCUCACCCAGGCAACCUUCGCCAUGCAAGCUUCAGCCCAGAGUUUUACACUAACUUUUUUAUGUUUCUACACUUUUAUACUUUGCUGCUAAGUUAUAGUGGAAAGGGUGAGUACCGGUAGUUGGUUUUAAAACAUCACUAUCCUAUACUGCCCGACACAUUUCACUCUCACUGAUUCACUGAUGCAUACAAUAUAGCUUCUCAAUGUAGCAUUGUAAUAUAUUCAGCUAUAUUUAUAUCUGGCAUAAGAUAAAAGGAUGCAGACAGAUUUGGAUGAGGUGGUGCUGUAGUUAACACCUACACCACCUUCACUGUUACUUUUAGCAUGCCUACUGCCCUGCAUAUCAGAAAUACUCAGAGAAAGCCCACUCAGAGAAAGAAGCCGUGGGUCCAUAGUCUGUCAUCGCCACAGGGAGUUAUGAAUGAAGGAGAACAGAGUGAGGCGAACCAGACAGUACUGAGGUGGACUGAGGGGUGGUGGGGUGUAGGUGAAGAAGUAAAAAAAAAUAUGAGCUAUGGAGGCUGGUUGCACAUGUGAAAGUCAUUACUCAGAUUCAGCUCUAAUACAACAUUUCUCCGAGAGGGAGGCCCAUCCCCCUCUUGUCCUUCUCUCUCCUUCUCUCCUCUCAUUGCCAGCUCACCGAGUCUCCUCUUUCACUCGAAGAAGGGGAAGAUGGGAGAAAAUGGAUAACCAAAAAUACAGAGAGAUGUGACCUCCCCUGAAAUAGGACCAAUAGGCAUUUUGAGGGCAAAGUUCCAGUCCCAAGACAAAAUCCCAUUUGUUCAGGGAACAGGCGGGUGUGAAGCCACAGUGACAGACCUAGAUGUUGGUAGAAGACGCAAGUCUCUCCCAUUGCUCCCCUGAACCCUACGACUCUCUCCCCUCUUCCCUCUUUUUCUUUUUUAUGCAAACUUUUUUGUCAGAGGGGCCCACUUCCUGUUGCAGAGCCCGAAAAAAAAAUGACAGAAGGCGAUUGGCGCUUGUGCAGAAACAUCUGGAAUUGCUUUAGCUCGGAGAGAGAGAGGGGUGUCAGGGUAGAGAGGGAGCUGAGCGCGUUCUGAUGGGGUAGAAAUAGAAAGUACAGACAAGACACAGAGGAAGAGGAGGGAGCGGAGACUUGUAGAGAGAAAGAGAGAGAGUGAGAGAGAAAGACAGAGGGACAGACAGAGACAGAGGGAGGUGAGCAUGAGAAGAACAACAGAGCUCAGGCUGACCGCCCUGGACAGCAGGGAUGGGGAGUUUAGAAAGUUUGCAAGGGGGUAGCUGGGGGGGAGGGGAGAUUCUGCAUAGUACUCCAGCGUCAAUUCCCCAAGAGUCCCAUCAACCCAUAUAUAGCCACCUCAUUUCCAGCCUACCUCACUCUCUCUCCCUCUCUUUUCACUCGCCCCUAUUUCCUUACGCCUACCCCGAGUGAGAGGACAGACAGAUCCCCAGCAGCUGAAAGUGCAAAUGUGCCACGUCAAGACUGGAUACCGAGCCUGGACCGAGCGGCCUUCUGGACAACACCCCCCCGCCCUUCCAAAGCAGUGGAAGACGUUUCCAGAGGUGGCACGCCGGAACGUCAUACAUCACAGCUGUUACGUCUUCAAGACUAAAGAGAUGAUAUCCUUUCUUCCUUCAGACUAAUGGAUCCUAUAGCAUGCCUGAUAUAUAUAGCAUGCCUGAUCACACACACACACACACACACACACACACACACACACACACACACACACACACACACACACACACACACACACACACACACACACACACACACACACACAUAGAGA